RNAcentral lists this long non-coding RNA (283 nucleotides) under Trifolium pratense (red clover). RNAcentral's name for it is "long non-coding RNA (TPRA_LNC011136)". Lineage: Eukaryota; Viridiplantae; Streptophyta; Magnoliopsida; Fabales; Fabaceae. The record is from RNAcentral.
CAACUGAAGUAGACAUUGUCCGACAAUUUUUUUAAAAAGAACACAAUAAAUUACAUAAAAAAGAUGCAGCUUUACAGGCGAAAAAACAUUAAAGCACUAGGAUGAAUUUAUAGCCACUACUGCUAGUCUACUACCUCUUCUCCCAGCAGCAAAGUUUAUAUAACACAAACAACAGCAAUAAGUAACUUCAAAUUAAUUUAGAUUCUUACCAGCAGCACCAACAAUCCAGGGAAAUAGAAUAAGUGGAAUUAAAAAAAAUGAUCUGAUUAGUGGUAAACGCCUC